CACCGGCAGCUCUAGUGGUGGCAGUUUUUAUUGGGCCUAAAGCGUCCGUAGCCGGUUUAAUAAGUCUCUGGUGAAAUCCUGUAGCUUAACUGUGGGAAUUGCUGGAGAUACUAUUAGACUUGAGACCGGGAGAGGUUAGAGGUACUCCCAGGGUAGAGGUGAAAUUCUGUAAUCCUGGGAGGACCGCCUGUUGCGAAGGCGUCUAACUGGAACGGUUCUGACGGUGAGGGACGAAAGUUAGGGGCGCGAACCGGAUUAGAUACCCGGGUAGUCCUAACUGUAAACGAUGCGGACUUGGUGUUGGGGUGGCUUUGAGCUGCUCCAGUGCCGAAGGGAAGCUGUUAAGUCCGCCGCCUGGGAAGUACGGUCGCAAGACUGAAACUUAA
Molecule: ribosomal RNA, 386 nt
Filed under: uncultured methanogenic archaeon
Lineage: Archaea; Methanobacteriati; Methanobacteriota
Description: bacterial SSU rRNA
Rfam family: Archaeal small subunit ribosomal RNA
Source: RNAcentral